GACGAACGCUGGCGGCGUGCCUAAUACAUGCAAGUCGAGCGACGUCUUUCUGGUGCUUGCACUAAACAAACUUAGCGGCGAACGGGUGAGUAACACGUAAAGAACCUGCCUCAUUGACUGGGACAACCAUUGGAAACGAUAGCCUAUACCGGCUAACAGUCUUCCUCUCAUGAGAGAUAUUCAUAAGUUGGUUAUGCUAACACUAUGCGAUGGCUUUGCGGUGGAUUAGCUAGUUGGUGGGGUAAAGGCCCACCAAGGCGACGAUGCGUAGCCGACCUGAGAGGAUGAUCAGCCACACUGGAACUGAGACACGGCCCAGACUCCUACGGGAGGCAGCAGUAGGGAAUCUUCCGCAAUGGGCGAAAGCCUGACGCAGCAACACCGCGUGGGUGAAGAAGGAUUUCGGUUCGUAAAGCUCUGUUGUUAGGGAAGAAUGGAUGUGUAGUAACUAUACGUGUAAGUGACGGUACCUAACCAGAAAGCCACGGCUAACUACGUG
Molecule: ribosomal RNA, 499 nt
Filed under: uncultured bacterium
Lineage: Bacteria
Description: partial 16S ribosomal RNA
Rfam family: Bacterial small subunit ribosomal RNA
Source: RNAcentral